Molecule: ribosomal RNA, 433 nt
Filed under: uncultured bacterium
Lineage: Bacteria
Description: partial 16S ribosomal RNA
Rfam family: Bacterial small subunit ribosomal RNA
Source: RNAcentral
AACGAACGCUGGCGGCAGGCUUAACACAUGCCAGUCGAGCGCAUCCUUCGGGGUGAGCGGCCGACGGGUGAGUAACGCGUGGGAAUCUACCUUUUGCUACGGAAUAGCUCCGGGAAACUGGAAUUAAUACCGUAUGUGCCCUUAGGGGGAAAGAUUUAUCGGCAAGAGAUGAGCCCGCGUUGGAUUAGCUAGUUGGUGGGGUAAAGGCCUACCAAGGCGACGAUCCAUAGCUGGUCUGAGAGGAUGAUCAGCCACAUUGGGACUGAGACACGGCCCAAACUCCUACGGGAGGCAGCAGUGGGGAAUAUUGGACAAUGGGCGCAAGCCUGAUCCAGCCAUGCCGCGUGAGUGAUGAAGGCCUUAGGGUUGUAAAGCUCUUUCACCGGAGAAGAUAAUGACGGUAUCCGGAGAAGAAGCCCCGGCUAACUUCGUG